RNAcentral lists this ribosomal RNA (617 nucleotides) under uncultured bacterium. Its description in RNAcentral is "bacterial SSU rRNA". It matches the Rfam family "Bacterial small subunit ribosomal RNA", at positions 232 to 847 of the family's 1533-position model. The record is from RNAcentral.
UGCGGCGCAUUAGCUAGUUGGCGGGGUAACGGCCCACCAAGGCGACGAUGCGUAGGGGUUCUGAGAGGAAGGUCCCCCACACUGGUACUGAGACACGGACCAGACUCCUACGGGAGGCAGCAGUGAGGAAUAUUGGUCAAUGGGCGAGAGCCUGAACCAGCCAAGUCGCGUGAGGGAGUACUGCCCUAUGGGUUGUAAACCUCUUUUGUCGGGGAGCAAAAGCCGGACGUGUCCGGCUGUGAGAGUACCCGAAGAAAAAGCAUCGGCUAACUCCGUGCCAGCAGCCGCGGUAAUACGGAGGAUGCGAGCGUUAUCCGGAUUUAUUGGGUUUAAAGGGUGCGCAGGCGGAUUUUUAAGUCAGCGGUCAAAUCGUGGGGCUCAACCCCAUCCAGCCGUUGAAACUGGGGAUCUAGAGUGUGCGAGAGGUAUGCGGAAUGCGUGGUGUAGCGGUGAAAUGCAUAGAUAUCACGCAGAACCCCGAUUGCGAAGGCAGCAUACCGGUGCACAACUGACGCUCAGGCACGAAAGCGUGGGUAUCGAACAGGAUUAGAUACCCUGGUAGUCCACGCAGUAAACGAUGAAUGCUACCUGUUUGGCCAGAUUGAAGGCUGAGCGGG